UACGUAGGGUGCGAGCGUUGUCCGGAAUUACUGGGCGUAAAGAGCUCGUAGGCGGUGUGUCGCGUCGGCCGUGAAAACCUGCAGCUUAACUGUGGGCGUGCGGUCGAUACGGGCAUCACUGGAGUUCGGCAGGGGAGACUGGAAUUCCUGGUGUAGCGGUGAAAUGCGCAGAUAUCAGGAGGAACACCGGUGGCGAAGGCGGGUCUCUGGGCCGAUACUGACGCUGAGGAGCGAAAGCGUGGGGAGCGAACAGG
RNAcentral lists this ribosomal RNA (254 nucleotides) under uncultured bacterium. Its description in RNAcentral is "partial 16S ribosomal RNA". It matches the Rfam family "Bacterial small subunit ribosomal RNA", at positions 524 to 776 of the family's 1533-position model. The record is from RNAcentral.